AGAGUUUGAUCAUGGCUCAGAUUGAACGCUGGCGGCAGGCCUAACACAUGCAAGUCGAGCGGUAGCACAGAGAGCUUGCUCUCGGGUGACGAGCGGCGGACGGGUGAGUAAUGUCUGGGAAACUGCCUGAUGGAGGGGGAUAACUACUGGAAACGGUAGCUAAUACCGCAUAANGUCGCAAGACCAAAGUGGGGGACCUUCGGGCCUCAUGCCAUCAGAUGUGCCCAGAUGGGAUUAGCUAGUAGGUGGGGUAACGGCUCACCUAGGCGACGAUCCCUAGCUGGUCUGAGAGGAUGACCAGCCACACUGGAACUGAGACACGGUCCAGACUCCUACGGGAGGCAGCAGUGGGGAAUAUUGCACAAUGGGCGCAAGCCUGAUGCAGCCAUGCCGCGUGUGUGAAGAAGGCCUUCGGGUUGUAAAGCACUUUCAGCGGGGAGGAAGGCGGUGAGGUUAAUAACCUCAUCGAUUGACGUUACCCGCAGAAGAAGCACCGGCUAACUCCGUGCCAGCAGCCGCGGUAAUACGGAGGGUGCAAGCGUUAAUCGGAAUUACUGGGCGUAAAGCGCACGCAGGCGGUCUGUCAAGUCGGAUGUGAAAUCCCCGGGCUCAACCUGGGAACUGCAUUCGAAACUGGCAGGCUAGAGUCUUGUAGAGGGGGGUAGAAUUCCAGGUGUAGCGGUGAAAUGCGUAGAGAUCUGGAGGAAUACCGGUGGCGAAGGCGGCCCCCUGGACAAAGACUGACGCUCAGGUGCGAAAGCGUGGGGAGCAAACAGGAUUAGAUACCCUGGUAGUCCACGCCGUAAACGAUGUCGAUUUGGAGGUUGUGCCCUUGAGGCGUGGCUUCCGGAGCUAACGCGUUAAAUCGACCGCCUGGGGAGUACGGCCGCAAGGUUAAAACUCAAAUGAAUUGACGGGGGCCCGCACAAGCGGUGGAGCAUGUGGUUUAAUUCGAUGCAACGCGAAGAACCUUACCUGGUCUUGACAUCCACAGAACUUUCCAGAGAUGGAUUGGUGCCUUCGGGAACUGUGAGACAGGUGCUGCAUGGCUGUCGUCAGCUCGUGUUGUGAAAUGUUGGGUUAAGUCCCGCAACGAGCGCAACCCUUAUCCUUUGUUGCCAGCGGUCCGGCCGGGAACUCAAAGGAGACUGCCAGUGAUAAACUGGAGGAAGGUGGGGAUGACGUCAAGUCAUCAUGGCCCUUACGACCAGGGCUACACACGUGCUACAAUGGCAUAUACAAAGAGAAGCGACCUCGCGAGAGCAAGCGGACCUCAUAAAGUAUGUCGUAGUCCGGAUUGGAGUCUGCAACUCGACUCCAUGAAGUCGGAAUCGCUAGUAAUCGUAGAUCAGAAUGCUACGGUGAAUACGUUCCCGGGCCUUGUACACACCGCCCGUCACACCAUGGGAGUGGGUUGCAAAAGAAGUAGGUAGCUUAACCUUCGGGAGGGCGCUUACCACUUUGUGAUUCAUGACUGGGGUGAAGUCGUAACAAGGUAACCGUAGGGGAACCUGCGGUUGGAUCACCU
This 1528-nucleotide ribosomal RNA is filed under the name Klebsiella pneumoniae. RNAcentral's name for it is "bacterial SSU rRNA". It matches the Rfam family "Bacterial small subunit ribosomal RNA". The record is from RNAcentral. Lineage: Bacteria; Pseudomonadati; Pseudomonadota; Gammaproteobacteria; Enterobacterales; Enterobacteriaceae.